AUGCGUUUUGUGCGGCGCAUCCAGGAGUCUGAGGUGAAGGAGGCUUUAAAAAGGAUGAAAGGAGGCAAGGCGAUGGGCCCUGAUUGUAUCCCCAUUGAGGUGUGGAAAGGUCUCGGGGACAUAGCGAUAGUAUGGCUAACCAAGCUUUUCAACCUCAUUUUUCGGGCAAACAAGAUGCCAGAAGAAUGGAGACGGAGUAUAUUAGUACCAAUCUUCAAGAACAAGGGAGAUGUUCAGAGUUGUACUAAUUACCGUGGAAUUAAGCUGAUGAGCCAUACAAUGAAGCUAUGGGAGAGAGUCAUUGAGCACCGCUUAAGAAGAAUGACAAGCGUGACCAAAAAUCAGUUUGGUUUCAUGCCUGGGAGGUCGACCAUGGAAGCCAUUUUGUUGGUACGACAACUUAUGGAGAGAUAUAGGGAGCAUAAGAAGGUCUUGCAUAUGGUGUUCAUUGACUUGGAGAAGGCCUAUGAUAAGAUACCGCGGAAUGUCAUGUGGUGGGCCUUGGAGAAACACAAAGUCCCAGCAAAGUACAUUACCCUCAUCAAGGACAUGUACAAUAAUGUUGUGACAAGUGUUCGAACAAGUGAUGUCGACACCGAUGACUUCCCGAUUAAGAUAGGACUGCAUCAGGGGUCAGCUUUGAGCCCUUAUCUUUUUGCAUUGGUGAUGGAUGAGGUCACAAGGGGUAUACAAGGAGAUAUCCCAUGGUGUAUGCUCUUUGCGGAUGAUGUGGUGCUAGUUGACGAUAGUCGGACGGGGGUAAAUAGGAAGUUAGAGUUAUGGAGACAAACCUUGGAAUCGAAAAGGUUUAGGCUUAGUAGAACUAAAACCGAGUACAUGAUGUGCGGUUUCAGUACUACUAGCUGUGAGGAGGAGGAGGUUAGCCUUGAUGGCCAGGUGGUACCUCGGAAGGACACCUUUCGGUAUUUGGGGUCAAUGUUGCAGGGGGAUGGGGGUAUUGAUGAAGAUGUGAACCAUCGAAUCAAAGCCGGAUGGAUGAAGUGGCGCCAAGCUUCUGGCAUUCUCUGUGACAAGAGAGUGCCACAAAAGCUAAAAGGCAAGUUCUACAGGACGGCGGUUCGACCCGCAAUGUUGUAUGGCGCGGAGUGUUGGCCGACUAAAAGGCGACAUGUUCAACAGUUAGGUGUGGCGGAGAUGCGUAUGUUGAGAUGGAUGUGUGGCCACACGAGGAAGGAUCGAGUCCGGAAUGAUGAUAUACGAGAUAGAGUUGGGGUAGCACCAAUUGAGGAGAAGCUUGUCCAACAUCGUUUGAGAUGGUUUGGGCAUAUUCAGCGCAGGCCUCCAGAAGCUCCAGUGCAUAGCGGACGGCUAAAGCGUGCGGAGAAUGUCAAGAGAGGGCGGGGUCGACCGAUUUUGACAUGGGAGGAGUCCGUUAAGAGAGACCUGAAGGAUUGGAGUAUCGACAAAGAGCUAGCUAUGGACAGGGGCGCGUGGAAGCUUGCUAUCCAUGUGCCAGAGCCAUGA
RNAcentral lists this ribosomal RNA (1485 nucleotides) under Triticum aestivum (bread wheat). Its description in RNAcentral is "partial small subunit ribosomal RNA". The record is from RNAcentral. Lineage: Eukaryota; Viridiplantae; Streptophyta; Magnoliopsida; Poales; Poaceae.